GGGGUGGGGGGGGGGGUGAGAUGGGUUUCGAAACGAAGAGGGAACCACUUUUCCCACCACCCCCGACCAACCCAAAUCUCUAACCGUUCGCCGGAGGCAGUGCGGCGGCGGCGGCGGCGGCGGCGGCGGCGGCGGCGAUGGCGGAGGACGAGCCCUUGUGGGGCGCGGCGGAACUGAGCCGCGUGGAGGUGAUGCGGCGGCGGGGGCGGAAGAGGAAGGAGCUCCGGCGCGUCUGGGUGCGGAUGUACUGGGAUUUAGUGGAGGAGAUGCGGCCGAAGCUGCGGCGGUACUGCUGGGACACGGGGAACAGCCCCUGCGAGGAGGGCGAGGAGGAGAGGGCGGAGAGGGAGCGGUUAGGGUUAGGGCACGAUGUGGGGAGGGAGAAAGGAGGAGGAGGAGGAGGGAGGUGGCGGUGCGCGUACGCCGGGUGCAAGUCGAACGCGAUGCCGCUGACGAGGUUUUGCCACCCCCACAUACUCUCCGAUCCGAAGCAGACCCUGUACAAGCCUUGCAAUUUCGUUGUUAAGAGUAGUGUACACACCGGGCAAAUUAGUUGCGGGAAGCCGAUUGAUGUGGCUGCAGUGCCCUCCCUCUGCCCGGUGCACUUUCAGAGGGUUCAGAAGAGCAUUGCACAAGCUUCGAAGAAGCUCGGCCUGAACAUGUCCUCUUCACCUACCAGUGUUGGAAAAUUUGCAAAUAUAAUAGCUGAUUGUUUACGCCGAAUUCAAACUAAAAGAAGAGAAGCACUAAAGGCUCGAGUCGGCAAAAUAGAUGACAAAGUUGAAAAAGUUGGUUGAGCUUUGUAACUCAGAAGUUAGUAAUCGCACGAAGAAGACUAUUCGGAAGUUGCUGAAUGCACACACCAAAUUCUUUCGUAGCGAUAUAUACUCCGGAGACUUGUUUUCUGGUCAAAUCAACAAGCUUGCCAAAUAACCAAAUAUACACACCGACAUGCUUUUCUACUAGUAUGAUUACAAUUGUUCCGCUGCAUCGUCUUGGAGAUAUAUGUUGGCUGACUGCUUCUUUACAAUGCAGCAGAAUAACUUUCUGCUUUCCAUUCACCACCAAAUUGAGAUGACAUGUGCUUUCCCAUAACAAGGACUUGAAAACUGCAUCGCGUAGAUUAAAUCAAGCCAUCCUUUUUCGUCCACGCCGAAGUAGUCUCAGCACUUAUCGCUUGCUGAUUGGGAUGCCGAACAAUUGCUCGGUACUGGUAAACUCUGCCAUUUAUGGUUCAUUCUAAUAGCCUAGUUUCGGAGUGAGCAAUCACUUCUCAAUUACAAACUAUUCGUCUUUAGAGUUUUUACAUACUUCACCAUGUUGGAAACAUGAACUUCGUAAGUGGUAUUAGUUCCGAGCCCGGGAUUGUCUAUGCUGUUUGAAACCCAUGCAAAAGAUGGGUAGUAAUUGUGAAAUUGUAGCUUAACAUCAAUGGCUUACUGAUUUGUUUUAGUGCUACAUGAUUAAUUGUACAUGAUGCUGAUAAUCUUUGAAACUUUACCAAGUUCUUUAUGGUGUUUUGACA
RNA transcript from Ananas comosus (pineapple), 1525 nucleotides. RefSeq lists it as uncharacterized. NCBI's taxonomy places the organism in Eukaryota, Viridiplantae, Streptophyta, Magnoliopsida, Poales, Bromeliaceae. The transcript has 4 exons. The record is from RefSeq and is a predicted model, not a curated record.